GGACUGGAACUAGAUGAAGGAAGAGAAGAACCACAUAUGGAUGAAGACCCUAAAUUACAUAGUCUACCUUCUAUUCUGCUCCUACUAGGGGCAAGAGGGAAGUUAUCAACUAUGGGGACUCUCCUAGGGUUAGGGUUUGAUAAAGACAUGAUAGUACAAGGAAGGUGAGAACGAGAAUUGAAUAUUCUGAAAGCUUUAC
RNAcentral lists this long non-coding RNA (199 nucleotides) under Nicotiana benthamiana. RNAcentral describes it as "long non-coding RNA (NBEN_LNC042310)". Lineage: Eukaryota; Viridiplantae; Streptophyta; Magnoliopsida; Solanales; Solanaceae. The record is from RNAcentral.